RNAcentral lists this microRNA precursor (136 nucleotides) under Hordeum vulgare. RNAcentral's name for it is "microRNA MIR1122". It matches the Rfam family "MIR1120/MIR1122 microRNA precursor family". Lineage: Eukaryota; Viridiplantae; Streptophyta; Magnoliopsida; Poales; Poaceae. The record is from RNAcentral.
UAAAUACUCGCUCCGUCCCAAAAAUCUUGUCCUACAUUUGUGUAGAUAUGAAUGUAUCUAGUCACAUUUUAGUAUUUAGAUACAUCUAUUUGUAGACAAAUCUAAGACAAGAAUUUUGGGACGGAGGGAGUAGGAG